Molecule: ribosomal RNA, 228 nt
Filed under: uncultured Lactobacillus sp.
Lineage: Bacteria; Bacillati; Bacillota; Bacilli; Lactobacillales; Lactobacillaceae
Description: partial 16S ribosomal RNA
Rfam family: Bacterial small subunit ribosomal RNA
Source: RNAcentral
AUCGGGAUAACACCUAGGAAACAGAUGUACUAAUACCGGAUAACAACAGAUGAUGCCUAUCAACUGUUUAAAAGAUGGUUCUGCUAUCACUCUUGGAUGGACCUGCGGUGCAUUAGCUAGUUGGUAGGGUAACGGCCUACCAAGGCGAUGAUGCAUAGCCGAGUUGAGAGACUGAUCGGCCACAUUGGGACUGAGACACGGCCCAAACUCCUACGGGAGGCAGCAGAC